This is a long non-coding RNA of Paramisgurnus dabryanus, 668 nucleotides long. RefSeq lists it as uncharacterized. Lineage: Eukaryota; Metazoa; Chordata; Actinopteri; Cypriniformes; Cobitidae. The record is from RefSeq and is a predicted model, not a curated record.
CAUUAUAAUUUAUUAAAUUCAGUUUAAAAAAAUAGUUUGGUUCUUUGCGCAUGCGCACAAAUGCACAUUUUCCCUGGUGCUAAAAGGAGUUUCCAGUCAGGUUCACGGUGACGGUGGGAAAGGAAGACGGGAUAUUUCAGCCCCGGAGUUUUGCUCAGUCGGUCUAUUUGCACAGACAGUCAACAAGAUGACUUAUUGAAAGACCUGGAAAACAUCACCAUGGACAUAUGUGUAAUCAAAAAGAAAGAAGGUGUUCUUGGCGACUAUGACGAUAUUGGAGUCGUUGUUGGAGUGAUGAUUCUUGAGCAGCUCAAAUCUGUGGCACAAGCCUGCAUUGAUGCUGGGUACAAUCUAUGUGCUUAAUUUGGCGUACCCCAAAGAACUAAAAUACUACUUUUUUUGAAAUUUUUUAGAAAUUCAUUAUGCAGAUGGAUUCUAAAGCUCUCCCCAAAAAUUCAAGGACUGAAAAGCAGACAUGUAUGUGCAUGCUCAGCAUGAAAUGUUAGUCCAGAUGUCACAGUCUACUCUGUUUAUCAUUUAAGACCUGGGAAUCCGUAGUUUUAAACAUUUUAAUAAUGCUUUUAAUGAUUCAUAACUGUUGUCUGUAAAAAUGUAACACUUUUUUUAAAAAUAAUUAUUGUGCAAUGUGUGAAGUCAGCACUACUGUU